CCGUAAGGGGUACCUGCGGAAGGAUCAUUACCGAGUUCUCGGGCUUCGGCUCGAAUCUCCCACCCUUUGUGAACAUACCUCUGUUGCUUUGGCGGCUCUUUGCCGCGAGGAGGCCCUCGCGGGCCCCCCCGCGCGCUUUCCGCCAGAGGACCUUCAAACUCCAGUCAGUAAACGUCGACGUCUGAUAAACAAGUUAAUAAACUAAAACUUUCAACAACGGAUCUCUUGGUUCUGGCAUCGAUGAAGAACGCAGCGAAAUGCGAUAAGUAAUGUGAAUUGCAGAAUUCAGUGAAUCAUCGAAUCUUUGAACGCACAUUGCGCCCCCUGGCAUUCCGGGGGGCAUGCCUGUUCGAGCGUCAUUACAACCCUCAAGCUCUGCUUGGUAUUGGGCGCCGUCCUCUCUGCGGACGCGCCUUAAAGACCUCGGCGGUGGCUGUUCAGCCCUCAAGCGUAGUAGAAUACACCUCGCUUUGGAGCGGUUGGCGUCGCCCGCCGGACGAACCUUCUGAACUUUUCUCAAGGUUGACCUCGGAUCAGGUAGGGAUACCCGCUGAACUUAAGCAUAUCAAAGGCCGGAGG
Molecule: ribosomal RNA, 579 nt
Filed under: Diplodia seriata
Lineage: Eukaryota; Fungi; Ascomycota; Dothideomycetes; Botryosphaeriales; Botryosphaeriaceae
Description: eukaryotic LSU rRNA
Rfam family: 5.8S ribosomal RNA (bases 206-359)
Source: RNAcentral